This 473-nucleotide ribosomal RNA is filed under the name uncultured bacterium. Its description in RNAcentral is "bacterial SSU rRNA". It matches the Rfam family "Bacterial small subunit ribosomal RNA", at positions 28 to 518 of the family's 1533-position model. The record is from RNAcentral.
GACGAACGCUGGCGGCGUGCCUAACACAUGCAAGUCGAACGAGGUCCAUCCUUCGGGAGAAGACCUAGUGGCGAACGGGUGAGUAACACGUGAGAAACCUGCCCCGAAGACCGGGAUAACCCUCCGAAAGGAGAGCUAAUACCGGAUGCCCCCACCGAGCCGCAUGGCUUGGUGAGGAAAUGGAUUCCGCUUCGGGAGGGUCUCGCGGCCUAUCAGCUAGUUGGUGGGGUAACGGCCCACCAAGGCAUCGACGGGUAGCUGGUCUGAGAGGACGAUCAGCCACACUGGGACUGAGACACGGCCCAGACUCCUACGGGAGGCAGCAGUGGGGAAUCUUGCGCAAUGGGCGAAAGCCUGACGCAGCAACGCCGCGUGGGGGAUGAAGGCUCUCGGGUUGUAAACCCCUUUCAGCAGGGACGAAAUCAGACGGUACCUGCAGAAGAAGCUCCGGCUAACUACGUGCCAGCAGCCGC